This is a long non-coding RNA of Papaver somniferum (opium poppy), 1854 nucleotides long. RefSeq lists it as uncharacterized. The record is from RefSeq and is a predicted model, not a curated record. The transcript has 3 exons. NCBI's taxonomy places the organism in Eukaryota, Viridiplantae, Streptophyta, Magnoliopsida, Ranunculales, Papaveraceae.
UCAUUCUUCUUCUUUUCUUCUGCUCCUUCUCUGCUUUUCACCAGAGAGUAAAUCGUGAGAAUCGAUUGAGAGAAAUUACUGAGGAAGUUAUUUAGGCGACGACGGAGAUGGUGCUGCUGUUAAUUAAGGUGGAGAAGAAUAGGAAAUCAGCUGAGUAUUUAGAGUUCUUGUUUUGAUUGAGGGUUUGUGUGGAAUAACAAAGUAGCUGAGGUUGACAACGGUGAACAAAAGAUGAAGUCUGCAUGAUGGUGUUGAUUAAAGAAACAACGGAGAUAAGAAUUAGGGUUCGUGGAUUUUAAAUUGAGUUACCUGUUGGUUUGAAUCAAGGAAGAUGAAAUUGGGUGUUUAUUAUGUGACUGAUUAGAGAUGGUGUUUUGAAUGAUUUGAAGAUUUGGUUACCGAGAUGCAUAUCAUUCAAGUAAUUGAGAAAUCAGGGUUUCGUUCUUGAGGGUUUUGGAUAAGGAGAAAGUAGAAGAUGGGUUUGCUUAAUUUGAGGACUGCAUUGAUGUUGUGAACUCGAAUUAGAAAAUAGAGGAUUGAGAAUUGGUUUUAGGGUUUCUGAGAAUCGAAGAUGAAGACUAUAGAGUUUUAGUUAAUUGAACUGAUGGGUAUAGUUAGUUGGAGAUGUUUGCUCGGUUGAGUUAAGUUAAUAAGAACAUGGCGCUGAAUCUGAAUCAGAUGGAGGUGGAGCAACUGUAAAGGAUUAUGGUUUGUUUCCAAGGUAAAUCUUCUUCAGUAAUUGAGUUUUAUUAAGAUUUUAUCAAAUUUAAGUAAUCAUUGUUUUAGUUCUGAAUUGAGGAAUGUUGAUAAUUUGAGAUGUGUGGGUUGAUAGAAUUUGUAAAAUAUGUAUGGAUUGAAGAUAGGAAGGUGAAUUUGAAACAGCUAUGUUGAACUGGUGGUGAAAAAUGGUUAAGAUGAGUAUAUUUGUUGUAUUGAAGAAUUGGCAUUAGGAAAAGAGGUUUGUUCUGCUGUUGUGGGUGUUAUUGAUUAAAGCAGUGAUUGAUAAUGGAGCUAUAGCAUGUAGUUUAGACUUAUAUUGUUGAUGUGGAUGUUAUUGUUGAGUUACAUAGGUUUAAAUAGAAUUGUUAUGAUCUGAACAAGCAAUUGGUUGUGCUGAUUAGAAUAAGGAAGAGAUAUUGGUGCUUGACUGUGUUACAGAACUUUGAACCAGCAUUCAGGUUCGAGACAAGUGUGUUGAUGUACAGUUCAUGGGGUUGGCAGUGUAGUCACUGAAAUAGAUGUAUGUAGUUUUGAUUGCAGUUGUGUUGGUGGUGCGGGGAGUGAGAAGAUUGUUGUAGCUGUUUGCAAGAAUCUUGUGGAGGAGCAUAUACGUUGUCGAGAGAAUUGAAGGUGUUGCAGAAUGUAUAGGGUGAUGGUGCUGUUGUGUAUUGUUUGUUUGAAUUGGGCUGAGGUGCAGGGUUUUGAGCUGUGUGUGAAUCUGAGGGUAUGAAAAGAAGAUGAGAUGAGUAUUUUCUUGUUGGUGAUAAUGAAUAUGAGUGUCUGGUGAUGGUAUGAAUGUUGUGUAUGGAACAAGAGUUGCAGGCAAGGAAGGGUGGAUAAUUGAAGUUGUAGAAUUAUAGUUAGUCUUGCUGUGAAAAGCUUAAAGCUGCAAUUGCAGGAUGAACCAAUGGAUCGCGGAUCUCGAGGUUGGCGUGGCUUGUCAUCAAAAGAGUUUCAGAGACAGAUCAAAGUUGUUCAGCGGAAGUUUCGAGGAGUUGAGUCCGUUUGUUAGAUUACUUCUGCUAUGUUUAUUAUGUUGCAUAUUAUAAUUGUAAACCAAACGACUAUUGUAUUUGUAUCAUUUGAGAGAAGUCCUUGUAUAUAUAUAAUUAUGAGCGGGGGCUAGUUUUGAGU